GGUUUAUGUUAUUGUGGAUGCAAUCAGAAUCCCGCCAGUCAGGAUCCAGAUGGAUCCCAAAGAGCUCAUUCUGGGGGCUGGAUACGGGACCCUGGCUCUUGGGAUGCCAGCUAUCAAAAUACCGACCGGAGCUUAAGAUCCCGACAGCUUCUAAUAACUAAGAAUACAAAGCGUGAAGUUAUCGAGCUGCAGUUUGACAAACCACAGGAAAAGCUGACA
Pseudophryne corroboree (corroboree frog) is the source of this 219-nucleotide long non-coding RNA. RefSeq lists it as uncharacterized. The transcript has 3 exons. The record is from RefSeq and is a predicted model, not a curated record. NCBI's taxonomy places the organism in Eukaryota, Metazoa, Chordata, Amphibia, Anura, Myobatrachidae.